This 355-nucleotide RNase P RNA is filed under the name Erythroglossum lusitanicum. RNAcentral's name for it is "ribonuclease P RNA". The stretch from base 1 to 289 matches the Rfam family "Bacterial RNase P class A", at positions 43 to 321 of the family's 367-position model. From Rfam's summary of the family: Ribonuclease P (RNase P) is a ubiquitous endoribonuclease, found in archaea, bacteria and eukarya as well as chloroplasts and mitochondria. Its best characterised activity is the generation of mature 5'-ends of tRNAs by cleaving the 5'-leader elements of precursor-tRNAs. Lineage: Eukaryota; Rhodophyta; Florideophyceae; Ceramiales; Delesseriaceae. The record is from RNAcentral.
GAGGAAAGUCCGGGCUCUAUUUAGAUAAUUAUAGCUGUAUAAAAUACAGUGUAGGUAACUACGAGGAUAGUGCCACAGAAAAAAACCGCCAUUAAAUAAGAGGUAAGGGUGCAAUGGUACGGUAAGAGCGUACCAGAAAUAUUUUUAAGAUAUUUGCUAGGUAAACCCCAUAUUUGAGCAAAGUAAUUAGUUUAUAUAAUAUUUUCUAUUUUUAUAUUAAAUAGAUGGCUAAUUUAUCUAUGUACUGCAUGAAGUAAUAUAAUUUAUUACUCUAGAUUAAUAAUUACCCUUUAUUUUUAUUUACUAUUAUUUGUUUACAAUAGCUUAUAAUAAUUAAGAACAAAACCCGGCUUAU